RNAcentral lists this long non-coding RNA (899 nucleotides) under Gallus gallus (chicken). Its description in RNAcentral is "long non-coding RNA NONGGAT005377". The record is from RNAcentral. Lineage: Eukaryota; Metazoa; Chordata; Aves; Galliformes; Phasianidae.
GCGGCCCGCCGCGUUUGGCUGCUGUGGUUGUGCCUUCCCCUGGCCUGGGCUCUGCGUUCGCCGCAGGAGACUUCGGGGCACGGUUUGACCAUCAGCUGGGAUGGAGAAGAAGCCGACACUGCUGCAUCGCUGCCUUCGGAAAGCUCUGAUGUGACGCGCAGACGGAGACGCCUUGAAACGCAAGCUUGCCCUGAUUGCUUUGACAUCCUUUCGCCUCCCGUGGAUAACCAACCUGCUGCUGUCCUGGGGCCAUAGAGGAGCGCUGCUGGGCUGCGGGGGCUCCCAGCAGAAGGAUGCCGUUCCCGGGGCACAGAGCUGUGCGAAUCCCCAAACCAGCAAGAGGUCUGAGUGGAGAGGAGUGGAUCUGCAGAGGUGAUCCUGAGCCGCAGUGAGGAAGUCUUAGAGCUGUGUGUCAGGACAGCGUGGGGCUCCUGACCUUUUUGGAUGGAUGCGAGGAGGCGAUCGGGGCACAAGAAAGGUCUGUGCUGGCAGACGCCUGGCUGUGGCUGCAACCAAAGCUGCUCCUUCCCGAGCUGCCCUGCAGGAUGACUUCACUCUGCAUGGGAACGUUGGCUUUCUGCAGCUUCCACCUCUGGGCCAGAGGCUCCAAGAAGAAGGAGACAGGAGAGAGCAGAGCACAGGCCCCAGCAAAGAGGAACGAGCAGGCGUAAGUCUGCGUGUAGUCAUACAGCCACCCUGCAGGAGAGGAGAUGGUUAUUGAGGCUGUUGGGUUUUUCUCGCUGACAAUCACUUUGGGGAGGUGUGUGGGAAGCAGGGGAUGUGUGCUCUCGUUUGAGAACGCCUCAGAGAUUUUCUGUAGGUUGCCUUAACCCUUUGUGUGCCCGUGGCUGUGCAGCUGGCACGUGGCAAUCAGUGCAACAGGCAAACAGCGUGCAAAC